GAGAUUGGCGCGGCUACCAUGCAGUCGAGCGGUAACAAAUAGUAGCUUGCUACUCUGGCGACGAGCGGCGGACGGGUGAGUAAUGCUUGGGAACGUGCCUUGGGGUGGGGGACAACAGUUGGAAACGACUGCUAAUACCGCAUAAUGUCUACGGACCAAAGGGGGCUUCCGCUCUCCCCUUUAAAUUGGCCCAAGUGGGAUUAGCUAUUUGGUGAGGUAGUGGCUCACCAAGGCCACGAUCCCUAGCUGGUUUGAGAGGAUGAUGAUCCACACUGGGACUGAGACACGGCCCACACUCCUACGGGAGGCAGCAGUGGGGAAUAUUGCACAAUGGGCGAGGGCCUGAUGCUGCCGUGCCGCGUGUGUGAAGAAGGCCUUCGGGUUGUAAAGCACUUUCACUUACGAAGAAAGGGUAAUAUUUAAUACCUGCUAGCUGUGACUUUACUGACAAAAGAAGCACCGGCUAACUCCGUGCCCGCACCCGCGGUAAUACAGAGGGUGCGAGCGUUAAUCAGAAUUACUGGGCGUAAAGCGUACGCGCGCGGUUUGUUAAUCGAGAUGUGAAAGCCCCGGGCUCAACCUGGGAACUGCAUUUCAAACUGGCAAUCUAGAGUGAGAUAGAGGGUGAGAGAAUUUCAAGUGUAGGGGUGAAAUGCAUAUAUAUCUGAAAGAAUACCUAUGGCGAAGGCACCCACCUGCGUCAACACUGACUCUCAUGUUCAAAAGCGUGGAGAGCAAACAAGAUUAUAUCUCUUGGUUCAACA
RNAcentral lists this ribosomal RNA (764 nucleotides) under Pseudoalteromonas sp. RNAcentral's name for it is "bacterial SSU rRNA". It matches the Rfam family "Bacterial small subunit ribosomal RNA", at positions 35 to 797 of the family's 1533-position model. Lineage: Bacteria; Pseudomonadati; Pseudomonadota; Gammaproteobacteria; Alteromonadales; Pseudoalteromonadaceae. The record is from RNAcentral.